Molecule: transfer RNA, 76 nt
Filed under: Nitrospirae bacterium GWC2_56_14
Lineage: Bacteria; Pseudomonadati; Nitrospirota
Also listed under: 14 other names
Description: tRNA-Val
Rfam family: tRNA
About the family: Transfer RNA (tRNA) molecules are approximately 80 nucleotides in length. Their secondary structure includes four short double-helical elements and three loops (D, anti-codon, and T loops).
Source: RNAcentral
GGGCGGAUAGCUCAGCUGGGAGAGCACAGCCCUUACAAGGCUGGGGUCACAGGUUCGAUCCCUGUUCCGCCUACCA